CAGCAGCCGCGGUAAUACGUAGGUGGCAAGCGUUGUCCGGAAUUAUUGGGCGUAAAGGGCCCGCAGGCGGUUUCUUAAGUCUGAUGUGAAAGCCCCCGGCUCAACCGGGGAGGGUCAUUGGAAACUGGGAAACUUGAGUGCAGAAGAGGAGAGUGGAAUUCCACGUGUAGCGGUGAAAUGCGUAGAGAUGUGGAGGAACACCAGUGGCGAAGGCGACUCUCUGGUCUGUAACUGACGCUGAGGAGCGGAAGCGUGGGGAGCGAACAGGAUUAGAUACCCCAGUAGUCCCUGUCUCUUAUAC
Molecule: ribosomal RNA, 301 nt
Filed under: uncultured bacterium
Lineage: Bacteria
Description: partial 16S ribosomal RNA
Rfam family: Bacterial small subunit ribosomal RNA
Source: RNAcentral